Molecule: ribosomal RNA, 345 nt
Filed under: uncultured bacterium
Lineage: Bacteria
Description: partial 16S ribosomal RNA
Rfam family: Bacterial small subunit ribosomal RNA
Source: RNAcentral
CCUACGGGUGGCAGCAGUCGGGAAUAUUGCGCAAUGGAGGAAACUCUGACGCAGUGACGCCGCGUGCAGGAAGAAGGCUCUCGGAUUGUAAACUGCUUUAGACAGGGAAGAAAAAAGACAGUACCUGUUGAAUAAGCUCCGGCUAACUACGUGCCAGCAGCCGCGGUAAUACGGAGGAAGCAAGCGUUAUCCGGAUUUAUUGGGUUUAAAGGGUGCGUAGACGGAGAAGGAAGUUAGAUGUGAAAUCCCUCGGCUUAACUGAGGAACUGCAACUAAAACUACUUCCCUUGAGUACUGGUGAGGAAGGUGGAAUGCCUAGUGUAGCGGUGAAAUGCGUAGAGAUUA